Molecule: ribosomal RNA, 492 nt
Filed under: uncultured bacterium
Lineage: Bacteria
Description: partial 16S ribosomal RNA
Rfam family: Bacterial small subunit ribosomal RNA
Source: RNAcentral
AUUGAACGCUGGCGGCAUGCUUUACACAUGCAAGUCGAACGGUAACAGGCCUUCGGGUGCUGACGAGUGGCGAACGGGUGAGUAAUGCAUCGGAACGUGCCCAGAGGUGGGGGAUAACGCAGCGAAAGCUGUGCUAAUACCGCAUGUGAUCUGAGGAUGAAAGCGGGGGACCAAGCAGCAAUGUUUGGCCUCGCGCCUCUGGAGCCGCCGAUGUCAGAUUAGGUAGUUGGUGGGGUAAAGGCCUACCAAGCCGACGAUCUGUAGCUGGUCUGAGAGGACGACCAGCCACACUGGGACUGAGACACGGCCCAGACUCCUACGGGAGGCAGCAGUGGGGAAUUUUGGACAAUGGGCGCAAGCCUGAUCCAGCAAUGCCGCGUGCGGGAAGAAGGCCUUCGGGUUGUAAACCGCUUUUGUACGGAACGAAAAGGCUCUGGCUAAUACCUGGGGCUGAUGACGGUACCGUAAGAAUAAGCACCGGCUAACUACGUG